UCGGUGGAAACGAGAAUAAAACGUGAAGGAUAACGUUGCGUCAGCAACGGCCCGUAGGGCGAGGCGAAGCCGAGUCAUCCUGCACGACCCACCA
This 94-nucleotide small RNA is filed under the name Salmonella enterica subsp. enterica serovar Enteritidis. RNAcentral's name for it is "partial RtT sRNA". It matches the Rfam family "RtT RNA", at positions 36 to 130 of the family's 130-position model. From Rfam's summary of the family: This family represents a bacterial cis-regulatory element known as RtT RNA. The exact function of RtT is unknown although it is thought that it may be involved in changing the cellular response in relation to amino acid starvation. The record is from RNAcentral. Lineage: Bacteria; Pseudomonadati; Pseudomonadota; Gammaproteobacteria; Enterobacterales; Enterobacteriaceae.